GCUCGAAUAGCUCAGUUGGUAGAGCGCGUGACUAGUAAUCACGAGGUCUGGAGUUCGAGUCUCCAUUCGAGCA
RNAcentral lists this transfer RNA (73 nucleotides) under Rasamsonia emersonii. RNAcentral's name for it is "tRNA-Thr". It matches the Rfam family "tRNA". Rfam says of the family: Transfer RNA (tRNA) molecules are approximately 80 nucleotides in length. Their secondary structure includes four short double-helical elements and three loops (D, anti-codon, and T loops). RNAcentral also lists the same sequence under 1 other name. Lineage: Eukaryota; Fungi; Ascomycota; Eurotiomycetes; Eurotiales; Trichocomaceae. The record is from RNAcentral.